GAUGAACGCUGGCGGCAGGCUUAACACAUGCAAGUCGAGCGAGACCUUCGGGUCUAGCGGCGGACGGGUGAGUAACGCGUGGGAACGUGCCCUUCUCUACGGAAUAGCCCCGGGAAACUGGGAGUAAUACCGUAUACGCCCUUUGGGGGAAAGAUUUAUCGGAGAAGGAUCGGCCCGCGUUGGAUUAGGUAGUUGGUGGGGUAAUGGCCCACCAAGCCGACGAUCCAUAGCUGGUUUGAGAGAAUGAUCAGCCACACUGGGACUGAGACACGGCCCAGACUCCUACGGGAGGCAGCAGUGGGGAAUCUUAGACAAUGGGGGCAACCCUGAUCUAGCCAUGCCGCGUGAGUGAUGAAGGCCUUAGGGUUGUAAAGCUCUUUCAGCUGGGAAGAUAGUGACGGUACCAGCAGAAGAAGCCCCGGCUAACUCCGUGCCAGCCGCCGCGGUAA
Molecule: ribosomal RNA, 449 nt
Filed under: uncultured bacterium
Lineage: Bacteria
Description: partial 16S ribosomal RNA
Rfam family: Bacterial small subunit ribosomal RNA
Source: RNAcentral